This 459-nucleotide ribosomal RNA is filed under the name uncultured bacterium. RNAcentral describes it as "partial 16S ribosomal RNA". It matches the Rfam family "Bacterial small subunit ribosomal RNA", at positions 338 to 795 of the family's 1533-position model. The record is from RNAcentral.
CCUACGGGUGGCAGCAGUGAGGAAUAUUGGUCAAUGGGCGGAAGCCUGAACCAGCCAAGUAGCGUGCGGGAUGAAGGCCCUACGGGUCGUAAACCGCUUUUGCACGGGGAUAACACCCUCCACUUGUGGAGGUCUGCAGGUACCGUGCGAAUAAGGGCCGGCUAAUUCCGUGCCAGCAGCCGCGGUAAUACGGAAGGCCCGAGUGUUAUCCGGAUUCAUUGGGCUUAAAGGGAGCGUAGGCGGGCGUUCAAGUCAGCUGUAAAAUCGCGCGGCUCAACCGCGCCCCGCAGUUGAAACUGGACGCCUUGAGUUCACAACAGGCAGGCGGAAUUCGUGGUGUAGCGGUGAAAUGCAUAGAUAUCACGCAGAACUCCGAUUGCGAAGGCAGCUUACUAAGCCAUAACUGACACUGAAGCACGAAAGCGUGGGGAUCAAACAGGAUUAGAUACCCCAGUAGUC